RNAcentral lists this small RNA (109 nucleotides) under Flexivirga oryzae. RNAcentral describes it as "Actinobacteria sRNA Ms_IGR-7". It matches the Rfam family "Actinobacteria sRNA Ms_IGR-7". The record is from Rfam by way of RNAcentral. Lineage: Bacteria; Bacillati; Actinomycetota; Actinomycetes; Micrococcales; Dermacoccaceae.
UGGAGGGUGCUCCUUGAGCUGGUUCGGAUAGUGACGUCGUAAUCCCUAUCCUCCCAGCUCAGGGGCACUUUUCAGCUCACACCACCAGCUCGAGCACCACUGUCCCGUG